This 3404-nucleotide long non-coding RNA is filed under the name Daucus carota (carrot). Its description in RNAcentral is "long non-coding RNA (DCAR_LNC006021)". The record is from RNAcentral. Lineage: Eukaryota; Viridiplantae; Streptophyta; Magnoliopsida; Apiales; Apiaceae.
GAGUGUGUAUUUUAGUACAAAUCUGAAUGAUCAGAAAAACUAGAAUGAUGAAACUGGAAGGCAAAAGCAUAAGUAUCAGUAACAAGAGUUAGCAACAUAGUAUUGUUUCAUUGUAAUGAUGGUGGAUAACAGUUAAUUAAAGUCGAUAACACUAGUACGAGGGCUCACUUGGAGCAUUUUGUCUAACACAAGAAUAGCACCACGGAACUCAUACAACCGACCAUUUUACUUAUGAAGUAACUGUUUAAGUUGCGGAUGAGGUAUCCAUGAAGGAGUUUAGGGGGUUUUGGGAUCAGGGUCAGAUCAAGUGGAGAAAAGAGAGAGUGGAUUAAUCUUAUGGAGGUAAUGAUGGCCUUGGUCAUUGUCUUCUACUUUCUUCAACCAUAAUCUACCAUCUCCACAAUGUUCUUACAGCUUUACAAUAAUAGUUGCAGACAGGUGUAUAUGUAGUUGCAUUAAAUAUUUCUGAAUAAACAAACUUGACUGGAGGCAUUUUCUAAAAACAAAUUUGUGACUACAGUAUUUAGCAAAAAAAUAAAAAUAAAAUUGUGAAUACAGUAAAACUGAAAACAAGUUUAAUAUUAUAUAAACAGUAGUUUCUAUAAUUUCCCUUUCUUAUAGUAGAAUAUUUUAAAACCACAUAGAGAUGAUGAACAAAAUACAUAAUAUCAAGUAUUUAUUGUAACUGUUCUUGCUGCACUAAACACUAAACACUACUUUCUGCAACUAUAAACUAACCCUACAGUAAACAAAAAUCCAAGUAGAUUAUGAUUAUAGAUAAGAAACUUACAAGAAAGUGCAAGUAAAUAAUAAUUUUUACACCGGAUGAACAGAUUCCAGUGUGUACCAUGCAGAGCAAGAAUAGAAGGUCCAGUAAUAUAUAGGUGGUAUGCAUCUCCCAAGAAACCAGCUCUUUGUUAAAGAAAAACAGAUGCUCUACCACACUUCUCGUUUUAUGAAAAGAUGCAAAUACAACACGGCCACCAGUUCGAAAUUUGAUAUUCAACAAAAAUACAUUCUAUUAUCUCUAAUAUCACAAUUGCUAUUGAUUUAAAAUUUUGUAGCACACUAUUAUGAAGUACUGGCAAUUUAAAAGUAUUUUGCACCUUAAUGCCCUGUUUGGUAACAUGGUUUUGAUUUCAAAUCCAGAAUUUGUUCAAAUCUCUUGUUUGGAAAAUCCAGGAUUUGAUUUAAAAGUAUUAUGAACUCUCUCAUUGAUGUACUCAAGGCAUGAACUUCUUCUGCAAAGCAAGGAGCGCGGGGUCCUGCUCUUUCGAUUGCAGCAAAUCGAAGAGCAUGGAGGUGGUAGAGGCAUCUGCUUUGAAACCAUGAGCAACCAUCUCAUCUAUAAGCACACAACCUCCAUCAUACAUCUUAUUCUUAAAGCAGCCGCGGAUAAGAGUGUUGUAGGUAACUUCAUCAGGCAAGCAAUUGUGCUCUUCCAUUUCCAAAAGUAUUUUAUAUGCUUCAUCCAGCAACCCUUCUUGACAAAAUCCUUGUAUCAUACUGUUGUAGGAUAUGACACUAGGCCGUAAACCCUUUAAAAGAAUAUCUUGAAAAAGGUUUCUUGCUUCAUCAACUUUGCCGUCCUUGAACAAUCCAUGAAUCAGAAUGUUAUAAACGCAUAUGUCAGGAACUAGGCCACAUGACUCCAUAUUGUGAAACAUGGUCAUUGCUUCACCAACAAGUCCAUUCCAGCAAAGUCCACGCAACAAGAUCCUGCAUGUCACUAUAUUCAGUUUGACACCUUGGUUUAACAUCUUCUUAUAAAACCUAUGUGCUUCAUCAAGCCUACGCGUACGAAAUAACCCAUCCAGAAUAGUACUGUACGUUUCAACUGUAGGUGUUAAACCUUUCAGGGUCAUUUCUUCUAGGAGAUGUAUGGCUGUGUCUACUUUCAUCUUCUUACAGUAACCAUUGAUUAAUAUGGUAUAGGUAUGAGCAUCCGGGGAAAUCCCAUUAUUUCUCAUGGUUUUAAGCAACGCUAACGCUUUAUCCAAUUCUCCCCGCAAGCAGUAUCCAUCCAUGAGUGCACUAUACGUGACUACGUCAGGAUUUUGGCCUCUUCGAAUCAUCAACUCUAUCAGAUACUCAGCAUCUCUGACCUUUCCAUCUCUCGCAUGUGCAUCAACCAAUAUAUUGUAGGUAUGCUUAUCUGGGGAAAUUUUGUGUCUGUCCAUAUCUUUUAACAAUUGUGUUAUAUCAUCCCAUCGGUUAAGGUUGCACAUACCAUGAAUUAAUGAGCUGUAGGUUACAACAUCUGGUUGAAUUCCUUUGUCACUCAUUUCGGCAAGAAGGCUCAAAGCAUCAUCAACUAAUCUGUCUUUGGACAAACUAUCAAUAACAGUGCUAUAAUUUACUACGUUCGGCAUACAACCUUUCUUCUCCAUGUAUCUAAGCAACAUCAUAGCCUGGGAAGUGUUGCCUGUUUUGCACUGGCCAUUAAUAAUGGUGUUAAAGAUAACUGCAUUGGGCUCAACUUGAUUUUGCUUGAGAAGGUUCUUGAAGAGAAGCUCAGCCUCAAGAAACUUGUCCUGGGAAAUGAGUCCCCUGAGAAGAGUUGUGUAGGUAACAACAUCCGGGACAAAACCUCGCUUAAAGAUGGCAGCCAACAGCGUAAAGCCAUAAUCAACUCGUUUCAAAUGACAACAACAGUUGAUGACAAUACUAUAAGUAAUUAUAUUAACAGGAAGGCUAAAAGAGCACAUCUUUGAAAAGACAGAGACAGCCACGGAGUAAUGUUUCAUCUUGACCAGGGCGGCCAAGAGUUGAGUAAAGUCGAUAACACUAGGCAGAGGUUUCAUACGGAGCAUUUUAUUGAACACAACAAGAGCAUCAUCAGGCUUAUCAAAACCAACUCUAGAUUUCUCCAACAAUAAUUGUUGAAAUUCCGAAAGAUGAUUGGGUAUGUGAUUAGGGUUAGGGCAAGUGGGAUAUUGAGAAAGUGAAUGCAAUCGAAGCAAUGCAAUAACACGACAACAAGGAGUCGUAGUAGUAGUAGUAAUACCUAGUCUUGAGAAUGGAAGAAGAGUGUUUGAAUUGAAGCAGGUGGUGAAAGCCCUCCUCAUCAUCGUCUUCAUCGUUUUGCGCUUGCCCUUUUUUUUUAGAAACUCUGCUCCAGUGUUGUUUCUUUAAAGGGGAGUGCUGCUUCUAAAGCAACAUAUCCUCUGCACUUUGAAUUGCUGGUAAUGCAUUUAAAAUUUAUGAUUCUCUAAUUCAAAAGAAUAUGUAAAUUUCGACAUCUAUACAUUUUGAUAAUUAUUUUAUAAGUUAAGUGAGAAAUUUACAAUUUUUAAAUUUAUUAAAUGUAAAUAAAAAUUUGACAAGAGUUAAAUUUUAACAAACAAGAUAAGUCUAAAAAAGAGUUUUUUUCUUCCUCUCUCUCCCUCUCAAACCCUAGCCUC